CGUCUAUAUACGUAUAGCAUAUCAAUAAGCGGAGGAAAAGAAACUAACUAGGAUUCCCUCAGUAACGGCGAGUGAAGCGGGAAGAGCUCAAAUUUGAAAUCUUCAAGGUUUUACCUUGACGAAUUGUAGUUUAAAGAAGUGUUUUCUGUUGGAGUUUUGGUAAAAGUUCUUUGGAAUAGGACAUCAUAGAGGGUGAGAAUCCCGUAUUUGACCAUUAUCUCCAGCGUUGUGAUACACUUUCAAAGAGUCGGAUUGUUUGGGAAUGCAGUCCAAAAUGGGUGGUAAAUUUCAUCUAAAGCUAAAUACUGGCGAGAGACCGAUAGCGAACAAGUACCGUGAGGGAAAGAUGAAAAGAACUUUGAAAAGAGAGUUAAACAGUACGUGAAAUUGUCAAAAGGGAAGCGUUUGACACCAGUGUUGUUUUUCCGAAAAUCAAUUACGAAUGGCUUGAUUUUGUGUUGUAUUGACCUUAUCAGCUUUCUUCACUUUUUUCGAGUCUUUCUUAAUGCACUUUUCGGUUAACAAGUCAACAUCAAUUUCUUUUGUUGUAAAAGAGUAUUCGGAAGGUGGCUUUCUUUUCGGAGAAAGUGUUUAUAGCCCUAUACUUCUACAAUCGGAGAGAUUGAGGUCUGCAGCGUAGAUCCUUCGGGGUUAGAUACAUUUGUGCUAAGUUGUAGCUUUUCAUAGACAACUUGUUGACUAUGUUUAGUCAUGCGGCUUACUCGCUUAUGCUAUUUUACCUACGCUUAGGAUGUUGACUGAUAUGUAGUCGUA
Molecule: ribosomal RNA, 774 nt
Filed under: uncultured Neocallimastigales
Lineage: Eukaryota; Fungi; Neocallimastigomycota; Neocallimastigomycetes; Neocallimastigales
Description: partial large subunit ribosomal RNA
Rfam family: Eukaryotic large subunit ribosomal RNA
Source: RNAcentral